This 513-nucleotide ribosomal RNA is filed under the name uncultured bacterium. RNAcentral's name for it is "partial 16S ribosomal RNA". It matches the Rfam family "Bacterial small subunit ribosomal RNA", at positions 28 to 523 of the family's 1533-position model. The record is from RNAcentral.
GAUGAACGCUGGCGGCGUGCCUAAUACAUGCAAGUCGAGCGAACAGACGAGGAGCUUGCUCCUUUGACGUUAGCGGCGGACGGGUGAGUAACACGUGGGUAACCUACCUAUAAGACUGGGAUAACUUCGGGAAACCGGAGCUAAUACCGGAUAAUAUUUCGAACCGCAUGGUUCGAUAGUGAAAGAUAGCUCUGCUAUCACUUAUAGAUGGACCCGCGCCGUAUUAGCUAGUUGGUAAGGUAACGGCUUACCAAGGCAACGAUACGUAGCCGACCUGAGAGGGUGAUCGGCCCAACUGGAACUGAGACACGGUCCAGACUCCUACGGGAGGCAGCAGUAGGGAAUCUUCCGCAAUGGGCGAAAGCCUGACGGAGCAACGCCGCGUGAGUGAUGAAGGUCUUCGGAUCGUAAAACUCUGUUAUUAGGGAAGAACAAACGUGUAAGUAACUGUGCACGUCUUGACGGUACCUAAUCAGAAAGCCACGGCUAACUACGUGCCAGCCGCCGCGGUAA